Molecule: long non-coding RNA, 516 nt
Organism: Lolium rigidum
Lineage: Eukaryota; Viridiplantae; Streptophyta; Magnoliopsida; Poales; Poaceae
Exons: 3
Source: RefSeq, a predicted model, not a curated record
GCUUGCGCCACGAUCCGCUACCGGCGCCGCGCUCCGGCCGCCGCUGCAUCUGACGACUGGAAGUUGUAUCAGAAUUUAGCGCGAGAGUUUGCAUCGUAUGAGGUUCGUGGGGUGGUACCUGAAGAUCGCCGGCGGCGGCGCGGCCAUAGGCGCCGCCAUGGAGCUCUUCAUGAUCCACACCGGCUUCUAUGACAAGUAACUAUGCUGGAGUCAGAGAAAAGAGCUUGGGAGAGCAGCCCAGAGGCCCAAGCCAUGAGAGAAGCCUUGAAUCCAUGGCACAAGAAUGAUGAACCAGAGAGACGAUAGUCACUCAUAUGCUCAUGGGUAAUUGCAUUCUCAUCCUUUCGAUUGUAUGGUAAAUUGGUAACCCCAUUUUAGUGACGUAUUAAUAGGGAUAUCGCAUCUUUGCAAAUGUUUGAAACAUUUUAGUGUUUAUAACUGAACACAAUGCUUAAAAGAGCAUGUUCAUAUUGGGAUACUCCAUAUCAAACCAGCGAAUUUGUUUGUGUGUGACUA